Long non-coding RNA from Metopolophium dirhodum (rose-grain aphid), 2369 nucleotides. RefSeq lists it as uncharacterized. Lineage: Eukaryota; Metazoa; Arthropoda; Insecta; Hemiptera; Aphididae. The record is from RefSeq and is a predicted model, not a curated record. The transcript has 3 exons.
AAUUGCGGGCACCUAGUUAUUACAACCGCAUUAAACCGUUAGGUACAUAUACCUAAUAUAUUAUGCACCUAAUAAUUAUUUUAAUAUUUCAAAUAGUUAAAUAAAUAGGUAUUUUGUUGUAAAGUUUAAAUUGCUCGUUUAACAUUUAUAAUCAUUAUCAAACGUAUGAAAUAACUUUUUAAAAUGUGAUACUUUUAUUAAUACAUUCUGACUGUGACAACGAUACUCAACAUACAACAGACAUUGUGGUUCCACGAGACUUUUUCUUAAAGAUGCCAGGGUCACUACGGUCGUAAAAGUUUGGGAACCGCUGCCUUAACGAGUGAUAAAGUUUUAAAAACGAUGUCUGAGACAAUGGUAGAAAAUAUAUUUUCCAGAAAACGUGAAUACGUAAUACAAAAUACCUACGUGAUCUAUUAUAUUUGAUAAAUGCAGCUAAGUAUAAUAUUAUAUUAUGAUAUACGGUUUAUAUUAGUUGGCUUAAAAAUCGUUUAAUCUCUCUGUAUAGUCGUAAUCCGGUGAUGGCGAUAGCAUUAUAAAAUAAUAAAUAUUGUAAUAAUAUAACAUUAUGAUGGGUACCACACUACCACCUACCUACAUUUUCCGCAGUGAGUAGGUACCUAUCUAUUUACUGUACAUAUUAAUAUAGGUAUUAUAUUAUAUUUAUAAAAUAUGUUUGUUCAAGAAAACACGUAAGACAUUGUGGCUUUUCUUGCAUAACGAUUAUAAGUACUUAGAUAUCUUUCUCUCUUCAUAAGCAAAAAUAAUAAAAUAAUAUGUUUUAGAUUAUAGACAUAUUAAAAAAUAAAUUUCUUUAUGAUUUACACCACGUCGUUAUCUUUAGAUAUAGGUACCUACAGGUUACGACAGUAUAGUGAAGUUGCGAGUAUCUACUAUUUCGAUGUAUCGUCUAAACAUAUAUUAUAUUUAGACGAUUACCUACCAUUGAUAACUAAAUAUCGCUACAUUAUCAAGCAAUUAAUCUGCGAGUGCGGUGCCGUUUAACAAUGUCAUAUUAUUCAUAAUGCCGAAUAAUAAAUAAAAUAUUUUUUACGAUCGCAUUUCAAUCAAUUCAUACGAUAGACUGGAGCAGUUUAGGUGCCAUCGUGAAGUCGACAAUAUAUAUAACAAAAUAAUAAGACGCACGUGAAGGCAUACCGAGUAAACUUUGUUGGCUAGCUAUCUAAUAUCGUAUUCGGAGACGUUUUAGGUCGUUGUCAAUGUAUAGCUGCUGCAGUAUAAUCAUGACAUUAAUAUUUCGCGCAGACACUUUCUAUAAAGUGUACGUCGGUGCCUACUACUACCUAGGUAUAAGGUAUAACCGGGUGUACUGUGAGAGCCGAAGCCGACAGGUAGGUGCUGCAUUUGGUUGUCCAUUACCUACGUACAGAGAGCUGUACGCCCAUUUACCGUUUUUUUAGUCGUACCUAUAAUUUCAUAGUCACUGCAGCGUACCUAGUCCCGGCGGCUAGUCGUACGUCGUCGUUCGGCCGUAUAAAAGUACGUGACGAGAAUUAAUAUUCUAAUCGACCAAAUUUCGCGAUCUAGUUUGUUUUUUUUUGCUCAGAUUAUUCAUAUCGUAAUAAUAUUAUUGUUAUCGACCGCGGAUUUACGAUUUUCGCAUAGGUUCACAUACACACAUCGUAACAGGAUGUAGGCAGGCAUUCUAGGUCGUAUUUGUGUAUCGCGGCCGUCGGGGCGUAGUGCGCGGUGAUCUCGAAAAAUCGUCGAUCGUUUUGUUUUCAUGUCAUAGGUUACAUAUACCAAGUAGUAGCAAGUAUAAAACAAGUAUGUAUUGUAUAAAUAAAUGUGGGCACAACCGAAAAACUGUCGUGUUCUUUAAACAUUUAUUUUUUUCAGUUUACACUUUUUUUAGUUUUCAAGCGUAAAAAAAUAAUUCGUUUGUUAUACACAGUAUCAGUUUAAUAUUAUUCGCGGCGGUACGAAAUAAUAUUAAUAUUGUGCGAACUGCGAAGUGGGACGGACAUGCGCAAGCGUACGUGAAAUCAGGUUGAACCCGCGCAGAUCGGUGGUGGCGGCAGCAGACAGUGUUUUGAAAAGAAAAAAAGUGUGGAAAAUUGUUCAUCAUCGAUCGUCGCUAACUUCAACACCCGAAACCGUUCCUAUUAUCAACACCUGUGAUUCAUGAAGACUAGUGAUAAUUUUUCGGGUUCUGUUAUUAUUUUGUAGAUACUUAGUUGUUGUAUAAUGUAUAAUAUUAUUAUUAUUAUGCGUUUUUUAAAUGUCGCGAAAAUGUUCUGUUAUAGAAUUCACUCGUCGCUUAUUUUUUAGCGUUAAGACGGACGGCACCACGGUUCCCGCCCUUUCCUUUAGAUUACUUGGUCGACCUUUGAACAAAACACCCACCC